GACGAACGCUGGCGGCGUGCUUAACACAUGCAAGUCGAACGGAAAGGCCCUGCUUUUGUGGGGUGCUCGAGUGGCGAACGGGUGAGUAACACGUGAGUAACCUGCCCUUGACUUUGGGAUAACUUCAGGAAACUGGGGCUAAUACCGGAUAGGAGCUCCUGCUGCAUGGUGGGGGUUGGAAAGUUUCGGCGGUGGGGGAUGGACUCGCGGCUUAUCAGCUUGUUGGUGGGGUAGUGGCUUACCAAGGCGUUGACGGGGAGCCGGCCUGAGAGGGUGACCGGGCACAGUGGGACUGAGAUACGGCCCAGACGGCGACGGGAGGAAGGAGGGGGGAAGGUUGCACAAUGGGCGCAAGCCUGAAGCAGGGCCGCCGCGGGGGGGAGGACGGACGUCGGGUUGGAAAAGCAGUUCGCUAGGGAAGAAGCGUUUUGUGACGGUACAUAGAGAAGAAGCACCGGCUAACGACGUG
RNAcentral lists this ribosomal RNA (469 nucleotides) under uncultured bacterium. Its description in RNAcentral is "partial 16S ribosomal RNA". It matches the Rfam family "Bacterial small subunit ribosomal RNA", at positions 28 to 507 of the family's 1533-position model. The record is from RNAcentral.